GAGAUUCUUCGGAGUCUUGAGAGCGGCGCAGGGGUGCGGAACACGUGUGCAACCUCCUUUAUCUGGGGGAUAGCCUUUCUAAAGGGAGAUUAAUACCCCAUAAUAUACUGAGUGGCAUCACUUAUUAUUGAAAACUCCGGUGGAUAGAGAUGGGCACGCGCAAAAUUAAAUAGUUGGUGAGGUAACGGCUCACCAAGUCAAUGAUCUUUAGGGGGCCUGAGAGGGUGAUCCCCCACACUGGUACUGAGACACGGACCAGACUCCUACGGGAGGCAGCAGUGAGGAAUAUUGGACAAUGGGUGAGAGCCUGAUCCAGCCAUCCCGCGUGAAGGACGACGGCCCUAUGGGUUGUAAACUUCUUUUGUACAGGGAUAAACCUUUCCACGUGUGGAAAGCUGAAGGUACUGUACGAAUAAGCACCGGCUAACUCCGUGCCAGCAGCCGCGGUAAUACGGAGGGUGCAAGCGUUAUCCGGAUUUAUUGGGUUUAAAGGGUCCGUAGGCGGAUCUGUAAGUCAGUGGUGAAAUCUCAUAGCUUAACUAUGAAACUGCCAUUGAUACUGCAGGUCUUGAGUAAGGUAAAAGUAGCUGGAAUAAGUAGUGUAGCGGUGAAAUGCAUAGAUGUUACUUAGAACACCAAUUGCGAAGGCAGGUUACUAUGUCUUAACUGACGCUCAUGGACGAAAGCGUGAGGAGCGAACAGGAUUAGAUACCCUGAUAGUCCACGCCGUAAACGAUGCUAACUCGUUUUUGGUUUUUCUGAAUCAUAGACUAAGCGAAAGUGAUAAGUUAGCCACCUGGGGAGUACGAACGCAAGUUUGAAACUCAGAGGAAUUGACGGGGGCCCGCACAAGCGGUGGAUUAUGUGGGUUUAAUUCUAUGAUACGCGAGGAACCUUACCAAGACUUAAAUGGG
Molecule: ribosomal RNA, 914 nt
Filed under: Chryseobacterium gambrini
Lineage: Bacteria; Pseudomonadati; Bacteroidota; Flavobacteriia; Flavobacteriales; Weeksellaceae
Description: bacterial SSU rRNA
Rfam family: Bacterial small subunit ribosomal RNA
Source: RNAcentral